This 96-nucleotide microRNA precursor is filed under the name Canis lupus familiaris (dog). Its description in RNAcentral is "mir-8799 microRNA precursor family". It matches the Rfam family "mir-8799 microRNA precursor family". The record is from Rfam by way of RNAcentral. RNAcentral also lists the same sequence under 1 other name. Lineage: Eukaryota; Metazoa; Chordata; Mammalia; Carnivora; Canidae.
UGGGGGAGCUCAGGAUCCUGGGCUGUGUCCCCAGCGCCCUGGGCUCUAGGGCCUAUACUGCUGGAAUCACGCUCCCUGCCACCAAUCCAGCCGCCA